RNAcentral lists this unclassified non-coding RNA (4032 nucleotides) under Drosophila ananassae. RNAcentral describes it as "GF12033". The record is from RNAcentral. Lineage: Eukaryota; Metazoa; Arthropoda; Insecta; Diptera; Drosophilidae.
CUCUCUCUCUCUCUCUCUGUCUCUCUCUUCCCUGCACUGCACUACUAAAAUAAAAUGUGCGCCGCCCAAAAUCCGCCGCCCUUUGGCUAUACCUGGGGCUUCGCUGACAACGGCAGCCGCACCGCCGAAUCGGUACUGGAGAUAUCGCCGAACAUCAAUUACACCGUCAGCGGGGAGUCGAUGCCCUACUUGCUGGCCACGGACGGAUCGCUGGCCGUUCAAAAGGAUGUCAAAGGCGCCCUGGCAGCAGCCGGCAACAAGAAUGUCGUCCGUCGGAUGUUCGUUGUAAACGAUCCCUCAUUUCCGCCAGGAACUCAAAGAGUUAUCACCACUGGAGGUGCCUCGACGGUGGUCAAGAAGCAGGACGCCAAUCAGCAGGUCCUCAGCCUGGACAAGAACUAUCUUCUGGUGGAUCAGGCCACGGCAGCAGCAGCUGCAGCCGCGGCGGCUGGGGAUCCGACAGCCCAUCACCAGUUAACCAAUGGAAGCAUCGUCGAUGCCAAAACCGGGCAGACAGUGUUGACCGCCGGAUCGGCGGCCAAGUCACAUUUUAGCUCGAUCGGAGCCUUGCAUCUCACGCAGGAGGAGUGCAACGAGAUCCUGAUCAAGCGCGCUAUCGCCGCUGGCCACCAUCAGACGCACACGAUCACAACUGCCGACGGAGCGCAUCAUCAUGCCGCGUCUGGCGGGACACCAAUUCAAGUACAGAAAGUGAUCCAGGGACUCGAGGAGAACGAGGACUCGCAGGGCGACGCACCCAACUUGAAGUUGGAGCCAGGCACAUUAGAGUUGUCCCCCAAGACCGAAAUACAGGAAUCAAUGCAUUUCAGCGAAACGGACGCCACUAUUAAGAAGGAACGCCCGUACAGUUGCGACGAGUGCGGCAAGUCCUUUCUGCUCAAGCAUCACUUGACGACCCACGCACGCGUACACACAGGUGAACGCCCCCAUAUCUGCACCCAUUGCGGCAAGAGCUUCGCGCACAAGCACUGCCUUAACACACAUCUGUUGCUGCACUCGACGGAGCGGCCGUAUCAGUGCCAGGAGUGCAAGAAGAGCUUCACCCUCAAGCACCACUUGCUGACGCAUUCGCGCGUCCACAGUCGCGAGCGUCCGUUCGUCUGCCAGGAGUGCGGACGUGCCUUUCCCCUCAAACGACACCUGGUAACGCACAGCAAGUUCCACGCCGGUGAACGACCGUAUGUGUGCGAGGAAUGCGGUGAGAGUUUUGCCCAGGAGAAUCACCUGAUUAUGCACUCGCGCUUUCAUGGUUCCUUGAAUCCAUUCGUUUGCGCCGAGUGCGGAGCCUCGUUUCCGCGCAAGUUCCAGCUGGUUAAUCACGGACGGAUCCACGGCAAGAUUCCCCACUCGUGCACAGUGUGCGGCAAGGAAUUUCUGCAAAAGCGAACGCUAGUUUCCCACAUGAGGCGCGUACACACUGGAGAGCAGGCACAUCCCUGCGUCAGCUGCGGCGAGGGCUUCCUCACCAAGGCCGAACUGCACCAGCACGUGAGGACGGCGCACAACGGCGUGAAUCCCAAUACGAGCAGUGCCACCAUUAUCGCCAAUCAACAGCUGCAACAGCCCCACCACCAUCCUGGCCAGCCGACGCAUCCGCAGACCAUAACAGUGGUCAGCAAUCCGGCCAAUUCCACGCUCCUGACGGUCUCCACCACGGAUGCCAAUGGCGUGUCACGUCCGCAGUUUGUUUGCCGGGAAUGUAGCAGCGCCUUUAACAGCCGGGAAGCAUUGGCCCUGCACUUGCGCCUUCACACCGGCGAUAAGAGUUUGAUGACCGAUCUGUGCGCCCUGACGGCCGCGCUGCCUGGCCACUUUUUGAGCACGGCCAGCCUGAAUCCCGGCACAGUGGUCACGGCCAAUCCGAAUCUGGUGGGCCAGAGCCCAGUGCCCGUACAGAUAAUAUCAUCCACCGGGCAGGUGAUGUCACAGACCACGCUGGUGCAGGCCGCCAACUCGACCCAUCCGCAAGCGGUGGUCACCGCAGUGCCCACUAUGCCGGUGCACGGCCAACACCAGCAUCUGCAGCACGUUCAGCAGCAGCAGCAACAGCAACAGCAGCAGCACGUUGUGUCGGUGGCGCCGGCCAACAAACCGAAGUCGCACUUCUGCGCCAGUUGCGGCAAGGGAUUCGCCGCCAAGCACGGACUCAUGCAGCACAAUCGCCGGCAUCCGAACGGCGGUUGCACCGUUCGUACCCAUGUGUGCGAGUGCGGCAAGGCCUUCUUCCAGAAGAACCACCUGAUGCUGCAUCAGCGCCAGCACUUGGAGACGAAGCCAGCCAUAUCGCAGCAACAGCUUGUUGUACCAACUACUUCUUACUAAGAAAAAAAAAAAAGAUUAAAAAAUAAUACAGAAUGAUAAAAACCAGAAAAAAGAACAUAAAAAAGCUAAUCAAAGAUAAAAAAAGAACUCGAGCGAUAUCCAUUCGCACAAGCAGCAGCACACGCCUUCACGUUCAUGCCUCAUCUCCGGGUCCAACUCUCUGGGAUCUCCGGGUCCAACUCUAUCCGAUCUGAUCGGAUGGACUUGGACUUGGACUUGGAAACGUUUUGAUCCGAUGGGGUGGUGGGCGGUGGUGCGCUGGUGCGCUGGUGUGUCUAUGUUUCCCCCAACUCCUGACGACAAGAAAUAAAUAAAUACCUUCUCACCAGACAAAGAACAUAUAUGUGUAUAAUAAAUUAAAAAAAAAAAAGAAAAGAAAUCCAUAACUCUGCAAUGAAUAUAAAUCGUAAAUCCGUAUCGUAUCCAAUCGAAUUCCAUUCAAAGGCUUCAGUUUAAGCGUUUAGGAACAACAGGCGGAUGCCAGCGGCCAGCAGCCGGUUCAAGUACAGAUCUUGUCCGAUGGCCAGAUACACGGCAAGGUCAUCAAGUACGAGGUAUGCCGCAACGCCCUACCGGAGGACCAGCAGCAGGCGGAGUAACCCCCGAUAAAAAAAAUGUAAAUAUAUGGCAGUUACAGAUCGUACAUAUGUACACACCAGCGCACUCUCGAAGGACACACAGAACACUAACAGAAGGAGAAGUGGAUCCUUGGAUCCUUGGAGUGGGAGGCGAUUCCCUUAGGUGUAAUAUUUUUAGUUAGGAUUAGGAUAGCGUUUAAGUAAUUGCAUUGUACACAUAAUAGUUAACUAGCGUUACAUACAUGCAUACACUUACUAUGUAUACACACAAUACAUAUAUAUACACAUAUAUAUAUAUAUAUAUGAUCCGUAUAUAAGAUCAUAUACGGACCUAGACUUAAACGAUUAUCUGUUAAUUUUUGCGAUGCGUUGGUCGCAUCUAAAACAACAACCUGUAUGAGUUGCAAGUUUUAAAGUGUUACGUUCGAUUGGUUUUACGCAUUACACGACUUUUAAUACCCUAACAUACCUAUACACGAAACAUAUACAUAUAUAUAAAUAUGUAUGACUAGAUGAGAGAUAUAUAUAUUUAUGUAUAUUCCCCGGGUGUAAACUGUAUACAUAUUAACACAAGAAACAAGAAACAGAUUAUACAUAGACGAGUACGAGUACGGAUAGUUCUAGAAGACUAGUGUCUAGCAAGCGUUGCACUUUGAAAUAUACGUAACCAGUAGCUCCACUCCAUGUGGAAGUGGGUGGGUGGUGUGUGGGCAUGCCACAUUUUGUUUGUACAUAUAGAAAUCGGUGUUAGCUGCAGCAGCCAACGCCAGCCAAGAGAGAAGAACUGGUCCGAUCGGAGUGGAGUGGAGUGGAGUGGAGUAGGUGCCUGGCACAAUAACUAGCUAACAGAGAUACCCCAACCAGAAGAAUUAGACUAUAGACAGUCUGUAGAAAAACUGAAAAAUACCAUUUUUUUGACCAGAAGUAGCAACAGAGCAGCUACAAGAAACAGACAUACUUAUACCAGAUACCACAUACCAGAUACCCCAACCGACAUCAUCCAAAAUGCACGCUUGGCGACGAAUAUCACACUGUAAAAAAUAACAAUUAAGUCAUAGGAAUGCGUUAAAACCAGACAGAAAAUAAUUGGUAAUUAUUAUAAUCGGAUAAA